GGAUACAAAAACUACCUGACUCAGUAGGUUUGCUCUAUAACUUGCUAAUAUUGAGGUUGAAUGGUUGUUCAAAUUUGAAGGAAUUGCCUUCAAGUUUGCAUAAACUCACCAAAUUGCGUUGCCUAGAAUUUGAACGUACAGGGGUGACAAAGAUGCCAAUGCAUUUUGCAGAAUUGAAGAAUCUUCAUGUACUGAAUAUGUUUUGUGUCGGUAGAAACAGUGAGUUCAGUACUAAGCAGCUAGGAGGAAUCAACCUUCAUGGAAGGCUAUCAAUUAAUGAGCUGCAAAAUAUUGUGAAUCCUUCGGAUGCAUUAGAAGCAAAUUUGAAAAAUAAACACGUUGUGGAGCUAAAUUUAAUAUGGAAUUCGAAUCACAUCCCUAAUGAUCCAAGGAAAGAGAAGAAAGUGCUUGAGAAUCUACAACCUUCUAAUCAGUUGGAGCGUUUUUCAAUCAGGAGCUAUUGUGGUACACAAUUCCCAAGUUGGGUAUUUGAUAAUUCGUUAUCAAAUUUGGUAUCCUUAGAGUUAAAGGAUUGUAAAUAUUGCCUAUGUUUGCCUCCCCUUGGACUAUUGUCAUCUCUGAAGACCCUCGAGAUUACAGGACUUGAUGGAAUAGUGAGCAUUGGUGCUGAAUUUUAUGGGAGCAACUCUUCUUCAUUCAAGUGCUUGGAAAGAUUGCUAUUCUUCAAGAUGAAGGAAUGGGAAGAAUGGGAAUGUAAAACUACUUCUUUUCCACGUCUUGAACAACUUGUUAUCCAUGAUUGUCCCAAGUUGGAAGGUUUGUCAGAGCAACUUCUUCAUUUAAAGGACCUAUCUAUUGAGACAUGUGAUAGCCUCAUCAUCAGGGAACACAACGUAGACACAUCAACACUUGAAUGUUUGAAAACUUACUCAUGCCCACUUGUGAAUAUUCCCAUGACCCAUUAUGAUUUCCUUCAAGAUAUGACAAUUGUUGGUGGUUGUGACUCUCUUACAAUCUUUCAGCUAGAUUUAUUUCCAAUGCUCGGUUCACUUCAUCUGGGACGAUGCCAAAACCUACAAAGAAUUUCACAAGUGCAUGCUCAUAAUAAUCUCAAGGAAAUGUCAAUCUAUGAAUGUCCUCGAUUUGAAUCAUUUCCCAAUGAAGGAUUAUCUGCACCAUUGGUACAAAUAAUUGACAUUAGGCAAGUGGAGAAUUUAAUGUUGUUGCCAAAACGCAUGCAAAUCCUGCUUUCAUCUCUUACUGAACUGAAGAUAAUUGAUUGUCCAAAAGUGGAGAAGUUUCCAGACGAAGGUUUGCCAUCAAAGGUAAAAGACAUGUCUCUUUCAAGUUUAAAACUUAUCGCCUCUCUGCGAGAGAACUUGGAUGUCAACACAUGUCUUGAAAGCUUAUCUAUUGAAUCUCUUGAUGUGGAGUCUUUUCCUGACAAUGUUUUGCUGCCACCUUCUCUUACCUCUUUAAGAAUCAUUCAUUGCCAAAAUCUCAAAAAGCUAGACUACAAGCUUCUCUAUCACCUCUCCUCUCUCGAACUUGGUGAUUGUCCUAACCUCCAAUGCUUACCUGAGGAGGGUUUGCCCAAAUCCAUCUCUUAUCUUGACAUUUGGCGCUGUCCAUUGCUCGAGCAGCGUUGUCAGAAGCCAGAAGGCAAAGAUUGGAUAAAGAUUGCUCACAUUGAAAAUCUAAGUGUUGGGUAAUAAGAUGGAAAAAAAAGUUCAAAAUUAGAUGUUCAUCUGCUAACAGCUUCCUCUCACACCUAAUUGCAUGGCUUCGACAAACUCUUUCUUGUUUUUAGUUGUUUUUUCUAUUAAAGUGGAAUCAGAUCUCUUAUUUUGGAAUUUUAUUUAUUUGUUUGAAUAAUGAAAAAAAAUAAAAGAUGGAUUUUUUAUAUAUUACAAAUCAUUAUUCGUGGAAUGAUAAGAUGAAAGACCGGUUGGUUUGAAGAAAUUGCAUAGUUGGUCUUUUAUUUAUAAAUUCAUAUAUAGAAAAUAUUUAUUUAGAGUCAAGAAUUUUUUUUUCAUUUUACUAAAUUCGUAAACUUAAACUUAUUUAUAUCUUUUACUUUUAAAUUUUUAUUCAUUCUUGUUUUUUUAUCUUCUAACUCCUUUUCACGUUGCAAGUGAUUAUACACAUUAAGGAUCAUUAGUUGUUUCUUUAAAAUAUAAAUUGGUUUUAAAAAAACUUCUAUAAGAAUAAGACACAAAAGAUUAAAGAAUUUUAUAUGAUUAACUCGUGAAGUAUAACGACAUAAUUAACUCAUAUUGGACUUGGUCACUCUACAGAACUUUUGGAAUGAUUUGUAUACAUUACAUGAAUCAUAUAAGAAGCUUUUAGCCUACAUGUACUUCAAUAUUUUUUCUCAAUCAUCAUGUCCUUUUAUUACAACUUUUUCUUAAUUUAUGGUAUAGUGUAAAAAUAAUAUCAAUAUUUAUUUAAAAAUAAAAUUUUAUUUCAUUCUUUAAUAAAUAAUUUAGUGACCUUUGUUUAAUGUUGUAAACGUUAAUAUUACUAACAUUUUUACAAUAAAGUAACAUUUCAAUUAUGUUACUUUUAUAAAAUAAACAUUACUAAAGACUUCUAAUGUUGUUUUUAUUAAAAAAAUUUACUAAAUUAUAAGAGCCAUAAAAGAAAAGGUUCAAUUAUGGAUUUUCUGCAAUUUCUUUGCAUGAUAAAAAUUAUAAGAAGUUUUCCUUUCUGCAAAAUCACAUGUAAAGGUAAAGAUUCUCAGAAUGUGUAUGUGCUUUUGUUUUUAGGAUGAAAGAUUGAGGGGAAGAAUUAAAGCCUUUUAUGUUUGGAAGAAUAUUGACCGAAAAAGGAUAAUAGUUAAGGUAAACAAAAUAUACCAACUAUGUAAGAGAAUCAUGUUUACCACAGGGGUCAUCCAACUCAAUUAGUUGAGUAGUAUAUUCAAUUCCUCUGAAUAAAAGAAUCAUGUUUAACUCUUAAUAAGAGAAAAUUCUACAUUAAAAACUGAAACUAGUAUGAUGCAAGGCUGAAAACUGAAUGCACAUGAUCUUGUUUUGGCUUUUUCAAUUCAGAAUGAAGAAGAUGAAUUNAAUGCAUUCUAAUGAAAAUGAAAUUGGGCAGAAACAGGUUGAAUGUCUGUGGAUUCAGCAGGUUCUGAGUAAGCCUUCAAUUAGCAGCAACAAUGAUUGCUCAAACUACUCAACUCCAAUUCUAUGCACCACUGUUGUUGUUGUCAAUCUCUUUAUUCAACUCCAAAUAUUCUUCUCAGUUGCAUCUCUUUUUUUUUUUUUUUUUCUUUCUUUCUUUCUGAGAAUCCUAAAAUCAAACAAUAUAAAAUUCUAACAAAGAAUGCCAAAUUAACAAAGAUUUAGAAAAACUACUAUUCAUUGAAGGAAAACCAAAUAUUAAUCUAGAGCAAAUAUGAACAAAUAUGAAGGAAAACCUGGUUUAUAUUGGAUGGAACCCGACACAGAACUGUGUAAAUAUUGGAAAUCCAAGUAUGAGUCUAAGUUCCACAUUGGAUAGAAAAGAGAAAGUAUAACACUAUAUACUCAUUAAUCCAUUGUCUUAAGGUUUUGGAUAAAGAAUGAUGUUAAUUCCUUAUAUGAUUGAGUUCAGAUCUUGCACUAGAUGAGUUUUACUAAAUGAUUUGUUAAUUGACCAUAAUAUAAUUCUUUUUUCAAAUCAAACAUUUUUCUAACUUGUCUUUUUGCUAUUGUUAUUUGUUAAAUCAAUAUGUCUGAACAAUAAUCUAUGUUUAAUUUGUUUAAUAUCUCACAUUUUUAAUCUAAAUAUGCAGCUUGCAUCGCCAUCUAAUUGGAAAAAUCUCAAUGAAACAAUAUGAUUAAACUAUAAAAUUAUCAGAGAUUUGUUUGAUCUCCCACGCUUUAAUCUAAAUUGUGAGGGAGCAGAAGAUACUGGGAUUCUAAGCUGGACACUAAAUAGAGUUCGUAAUUCUUUAGGGAUAUUGUUCUUGACACUUGAUAAAAGCUUUCAGAAGUAAUGGUAAGCGGUUAUGCAUGUAUUUUAACCCUAUUUCUUUUUCAAAGCCUAUUUGUUUGUACCAUAUAAAUAUGAAGGGUUUGAAAUUAUGACUCCUACAUCAGAGAGGGAAAUUGAAUUAAAGGGAGUUGUGAAAUGUAGAUACUUUUAGACUUCUUUUCUUAGAACUUGAAGCUGUAUUUGUUUUCAUGCUGUAUUUGAAACAGAUUGUUCUGCAGCUUUCCCCCUCAAAGCAUGGCAAUCUAUGUUAAUAUACUUUGUUCUUUCAUGAAAACUCAGAUUAAAAGCAAUAUGCUUGCUGCUUUAUUAUCACAGUAAAGGUUGGUCACAUCAGUAGAGAUUUGUAGAUCAUGCAAAGGAUAUGAUAACCUUUAUUUGGUUUCUCAUUAAAUGCAUCAAUAUAAGCAUGCACUCUGUAGGAUUUCUUAUGGUAAUAUCCAAUGAGUGUCUAUUUAUUCCUUUUAUUGGGAUUGAUUUUAAAUUAGUGAUCCCUUUCUUUAUCCAGGAGUGGAAGAGACCCUCCAUAGUGAUCUUCUCAACAACUUUUGUAAAUAUUGAACCAAAACAUCUAAAGAGAUGGUAAAGUCUAUUUCUACCAGUGUACCAAAAUGAUAAAAAUGAUAGAUUUCUGGUGUCAUUUCGUCAUUUACUGAGCACAUGUAUGCAUUCUGCAUGUAUUUUGUUUUCAGUUUUAUAAAAUACCGAAAAUAAUGUAAAAAUAUAUAUUUUCAUACAUAACGCUAGAGUGUUGAAAUCAAAUUCGAACCAUGUCUUUGAUGAUCCAGGAAAAGAAAAUAAAAUACUUGAGAAUCUUCAAACCUUCUACACAAUUGGAAGGUUUAUCAAUCGAUAACUAUGGUGGUACACAAUUCUCAAGUUGGGUAUUCGAUAAUUCAUUAUCAAAUUUGGUGUCCUUAUGGUUAGCUGACUGUAAAUAUUGCCUAUGUUUGUCUCCCUUUGGACUUUUGUCAUCUCUAAGGAUCCUACAUAUUAUAGGGUUUGAUGGAAUAGUGAGCAUUGGUGCUGAAUCUCUCCUUCAUUCAAGUUAUUGAAAAUAUUGGAAUUCUCCAACAUGAAGGAAUGGGAAGAAUGGAAAUGUAAAACUACUUCUUUUAAACGUCUUCAUCAUCUUUGUAUCCGGAAAUAUCCGAAUCUGAAAAGUGUGCCAGAGCAACUUUUGCAUUCAAAGGAACUAACUAUUGAUUCCUGUGAUGAGCUUAUCAAUAGUGAAAACAGUAUAAAAUUUAUCCAUGUCCUGCUUAAUGUAUAUAAGGGUAAUGAACAUGUGUAAAAAAUAUAACACAACUAUCCACUUAUUUAUUCGUUGAUUUCAACUUAUUUUUUAUGUUUAGUUUGAUAAUUUUUUUUAAACAACGAGCAUAUUGAGUAUAUUAAUGUAGUUUGUGUUUACAAUUACUGUAAAUGACCUUCAUUGUAGAUAACAACUGUAUCCAAAUAAUGUAAACCAAGUCAGAUGUCACUGCUAUUUUUUAUUUGUCAGACAUCCAUUCAUGCAUUACAGCUGUGUAAACAUUUUUAUAUUAUAAAGACACAACCUUCUUUCCAUCGGGAUUUCAGACUUUCAUUCAUCACAACCGUUGAAUGAAUAUCGAACUGCUCACAUUUUAUAAUGAUGAAUAAAACUUAUCGAAUGUUUGAACCGUCCAAUCCUAAUCUAACGAGAAUUGGGAACAAAGCUGAGAAAAUUUGUGAUCAAAGAAUUACAGUCGUAAACUUCGAUUUCACAUUACACACUUCCAUUCAGCAUCCACUCCAAUCCAACUCUUACCAUGGCAGCAGAACUUGUUGGUGGUGCUCUUCUUUCCGCUUUUCUUCAGGUUGCAUUCGACAAGCUGACUUCUCCUCAAUUUGUUGACUUCUUUCGUGGAAGAAAACUUGAUGAGAAGCUGCUCGGCAACUUGAACAUCAUGCUGCACUCCAUCAAUGCUCUCGCUUAUGAUGCAGAACAGAAGCAGUUUACAGAUCCACACGUUAAAGCAUGGCUUUUUUCUGUCAAAGAGGCUGUCUUUGAUGCAGAGGAUCUCUUGGCUGAAAUAGAUUAUGAACUCACCAGAUCCCAAGUGGAAGCUGAAUCCGAACCUCAAACCUUUACUUACAAGGUAUCAAAUUUCUUCAACUCUACUUUUAGUUCGUUUAACAAGAAAACUGAAUCAGAGAUGAAAGAAAUCUUAGAAAAACUAGAAUAUCUUGCAAAGCAAAAGGGUGCUCUUGGUUUGAAAGAGGGUACUUAUUCUGGUGAUAGAUCAGGUAGUAAAGUGUCACAGAAAUUGCCAUCAUCUUCUUUGGUGGUUGAAAGUGUUAUUUAUGGCAGAGAUGCUGACAAAGAAAUUAUCUUUAAUUGGCUUACAUCUGAGACCGACAAUCAUAACCAUCUAUCCAUACUUUCCAUAGUAGGAAUGGGUGGGUUGGGUAAGACAACACUCGCCCAGCAUGUAUACAAUGACUCAAAAAUGGAGGCUAAAUUUGAUAUAAGAGCUUGGGUGUGUGUUUCCGAUCAUUUUGAUGUUUUGACAGUGACAAAAACAAUUCUUGAGGCAAUCACGAAAUCUAAAGAUGAUAGCAGAGAACUAGAGAUGGUUCAUGGAAGAUUGAAAGGAGAAGUAUCAGGAAAGAAAUUUCUUCUUGUUUUGGAUGAUGUUUGGAACGAAAGACAAGAAGAAUGGGAAGCUGUGCGUACUCCUCUUAGCUAUGGGGCUCCAGGAAGUAGAAUUCUUGUCACAACACGUGCUGAGAGAGUUGCUUCUAACAUGAGAUCUGAAGUGCAUCGUCUAAAGCAAUUAGAAGAGGAUGAAUGCUGGAAAGUUUUCAUAAAACAUGCACUAAAAGGUGAUGAUCUAAAAUUGAACGAUGAGCAAAAGGAGAUCGGAAGAAGGAUAGUUGAGAAAUGCAAAGGAUUACCUCUGGCUUUGAAAACCAUUGGAAGUCUUUUGCACACAAAGUCAUCCAUUUCAGAUUGGAAAAGUGUAUUGGAAAGCGACAUAUGGGAGUUACCGAAAAAAGUUAAAAUUAUCCCUGCUUUACUAUUGAGUUAUCAACACCUUCCUUCUCACCUAAAGAAGUGUUUUGCUUAUUGUGCGUUAUUUCCAAAAGAUUAUGAGUUUGUGAAGAAGGAAUUAAUUUUGUUGUGGAUGGCUGAAGGUUUUCUCCAUCAUUCUCAUGAGAACAAGAAUGUAGAAGAAAUUGGUGAACAGUAUUUCGAUGAUUUAUUAACGAGGUCUUUCUUUCUUCAAUCAACCGUCAUAAAGAAAUUCGUCAUGCAUGACCUUCUUAAUGAUUUGGCAAAAUAUGUUUGUGGAGACUUUUGUUUCAGGUUUAAAUUUGAUAAAGGAAAUAGUAUACCCAAAACAACUCGUCAUUUUUCAUUUGCAUAUGCUGAUUUUUCAUUUGCAUCCGCUGAUGUAAGAUUUUUUGAUGGUUUUGGGAGUUUAAAAAGACUGCGUUCAUUUGUUCAGAUUACAAAUAACGUUAGAGGUCCCGGUAUUCCUUAUCUAUUCGAGAGUAUACAUGAAUUGUUCUCCAAGUUGAAGUUUUUACGUGUCUUAUGUUUGAGUGGAUAUAAUGACAUGAAAGAGGUCCCUAAUUCUGUUGGUGAUCUUAAACACCUCCAUUCAUUGGACCUUUCUUAUACUUGUAUACAAAACCUACCCGACUCAGUAGGUUUACUCUAUAACUUGCUGAUAUUGAGGUUGAAUGGUUGUUUUUAUUUUAAGGAAUUGCCUUCAACUUUGCAUAAACUCACCAAAUUGCGUUGCCUGGAAUUUGAAGGUACACAAGUGACAAAAAUGCCAAUGCAUUUUGGAGAGUUGAAGAAUCUUCAAGUACUGAGUACGUUUUGUGUUAAUAGAAAUAAUGAGGUCACCAGUAUUAAGGAACUAGGAGGACUCAAUCUUCAUGGAAGGCUAUCAAUUAAUGAGGUGCAAAAUAUUGUGAAUCCUUUGGAUGCAUUAGAAGCAAAUUUGAAAAAUAAACACCUUAUGGAGCUAAAUUUAAUAUGGCAUCGGAAUCAAAUCCCCGAUGAUCCAAGGAAAGAGAAGAAAGUGCUUGAGAAUCUACAACCUUCUAAUCAGUUGGAGCAUCUUUCAAUCAGGAGCUAUUGUGGUACACAAUUCCCAAGUUGGAUAUUCGAUAAUUCCUUAUCAAAUUUGGUAUCCUUAGAGUUAGAGAAUUGUAAAUAUUGCUUAUGUUUGCCUCCCCUUGGACUAUUGUCAUCUCUGAAGACCCUCAAGAUUACAGGACUUGAUGGAAUAGUGAGUAUUGGUGCUGAAUUUUAUGGGAGCAACUCUUCUUCAUUCAAGUCCUUGGAAAGGUUGGAAUUCUACUGCAUGAAGGAAUGGGAAGAAUGGGAAUGUAAAACUACUUCUUUUCCACUUCUUCGGCAGGUUGGUAUUGUUCAAUGUCCCAAACUGAAAAGUCUGCCAGAGCAACUUCUUCAUUUAAAGGACCUAUCUAUUCAGUCAUGUGAUAUCCUCAUCAUUAGCGAACACAGCGUAGUCACAUCAACUCUUGAAGUCUUGCAAACUUAUUCAUGCCCACUUGUGAAUAUUCACAUGACCCAUUAUGAUUUCAUUGAAGUACUGAUAAUUAAUGGUGGUUGUGAUUCUCUUACAAUCUUUCAGCUAAAUUUCUUUCCAAUGCUUCGUCUUCUUUAUCUACAUGGAUGCCAAAACCUACAAAGAAUAUCACAAGAGCACGUUCAUAAUCAUCUCUUUGAAAUGUCAAUCUAUGAAUGUCCUCUGUUUGAAUCAUUUCCCAAUGAAGGAUUAUCUGCACCAUUGGUACAAAUAAUUAAAAUUGGAAGAGCGGGGAAUUUGAAGUUGUUGCCAAAAAACAUGCAAAUCCUACUUCCAUCUCUCACUGAACUGGAGAUAAUUGAUUGUCCAAAAGUGGAAAAGUUCCCAGAUGGAGGUUUGCCACCAAACGUAAAAGACAUGUCUCUUUCAAGUUUAAAACUUACCGCCUCCCUGCGAGAGAACUUGGAUGUCAACACAUGUCUUGAAAGCUUAUAUAUUAAAUAUCUUGAUGUGGAGUCUUUUGCCGAUGAAGUUUUGCUGCCACCUUCUGUUACAUCUUUAACAAUCUAUGGUUGUCGAAAUCUGAAAAAGCUAGACUACAAACUUCUCUAUAACCUCUCCUCUCUCACACUUUUUGAUUGCGGUAACCUCCAAUUCUUACCUGAGGAGGGCCUGCCUAAAUCCAUCUCCUCUCUUUGCAUUUUGGACUGUCCAUUGCUCAAGCAACGAUGUCAGAAGCCAGAAGGCAAAGACUGGAGAAAGAUUGCUCACAUUGAAAAUCUGAGAGUUUGAUAAUAAGAUUAAGCAGAAGUUCAAAAUUAGAUGUGCACCUAAUUCUUCUCAUAUUCUAAUUGCAUGCCUUCGGCAAACUCUUCCUUGUUUUGACGUUUUUUUCUAUUAGAGUGGCA
RNAcentral lists this long non-coding RNA (9385 nucleotides) under Vigna radiata. RNAcentral's name for it is "long non-coding RNA (VRAD_LNC000023)". The record is from RNAcentral. Lineage: Eukaryota; Viridiplantae; Streptophyta; Magnoliopsida; Fabales; Fabaceae.